RNAcentral lists this unclassified non-coding RNA (167 nucleotides) under rhizosphere metagenome. RNAcentral's name for it is "partial ribosomal RNA internal transcribed spacer region". The record is from RNAcentral.
UAGAGUCAGUGGGCUUUGCCCGCUAUCUCUUACCCAUGUUUUUUGAGCACUUACGUUUCCUCGGUGGGUUCGCCCGCCGAUUGGACCACUUAAACCCAUUGCAGUUUUGUAAUCAGCGUCUGAAAAACUUAAUAGUUACAACUUUCAACAACGGAUCUCUUGGUUCU